GGGGGUGUAGUUCAGUUGGUUAGAACGCCAGCCUGUCACGCUGGAGGUCGCGAGUUCAAGUCUCGUCACUCUCGCCA
Molecule: transfer RNA, 77 nt
Filed under: Desulfobacteraceae bacterium
Lineage: Bacteria; Pseudomonadati; Thermodesulfobacteriota; Desulfobacteria; Desulfobacterales; Desulfobacteraceae
Description: tRNA-Asp
Rfam family: tRNA
About the family: Transfer RNA (tRNA) molecules are approximately 80 nucleotides in length. Their secondary structure includes four short double-helical elements and three loops (D, anti-codon, and T loops).
Source: RNAcentral